RNAcentral lists this ribosomal RNA (253 nucleotides) under uncultured bacterium. RNAcentral's name for it is "partial 16S ribosomal RNA". It matches the Rfam family "Bacterial small subunit ribosomal RNA", at positions 524 to 776 of the family's 1533-position model. The record is from RNAcentral.
UACGAAGGGGGCUAGCGUUGCUCGGAAUCACUGGGCGUAAAGCGCACGUAGGCGGACUCUUAAGUCAGGGAUGAAAUCCUGGAGCUCAACUCCAGAACUGCCUUUGAUACUGGGAGUCUUGAGUUCGGGAGAGGUGAGUGGAACUGCGAGUGUAGAGGUGAAAUUCGUAGAUAUUCGCAAGAACACCAGUGGCGAAGGCGGCUCACUGGCCCGAUACUGACGCUGAGGUGCGAAAGCGUGGGGAGCAAACAGG